GCCCAACAGCUAGCCCAAAACCCAACACCAACAUCCCCCUAUAAAUAACCCCUAAAACACUCGAACACAACAAAACAAACCAUUUUUCCCUUUUAGUAUGUGAGACAGAAAAAUAAACCGGAGCAACAGAACAAGUACCGCAUGGGAAUGCUGAAAGAGAAAUGAAACAAACCAGUAAAGCACUAAACAGCUAAGACCAAAACUCAUAACUUUUGCU
This 217-nucleotide ribosomal RNA is filed under the name Tylosurus acus (Agujon needlefish). RNAcentral's name for it is "partial 16S ribosomal RNA". The record is from RNAcentral. Lineage: Eukaryota; Metazoa; Chordata; Actinopteri; Beloniformes; Belonidae.